CCUACGGGUGGCAGCAGUCGAGAAUUAUUCACAAUGGGGGAAACCCUGAUGGUGCGACGCCGCGUGGGGGAAUGAAGGUCUUCGAAUUGUAAACCCCUGUCAUGUGGAAGCAAAUUAAAAAGAUAGUACCACAAGAGGAAGAGACGGCUAACUCUGUGCCAGCAGCCGCGGUAAUACAGAGGUCUCAAGCGUUGUUCGGAAUCACUGGGCGUAAAGCGUGCGUAGGCUGUUUCGUAAGUCGGGUGUGAAAGCCGCGGGCUCAACCCGCGGACGGCACAUGAUACUGCGAGACUAGAGUGAUGGAGGGGGAACCGGAAUUCUCGGUGUAGCAGUGAAAUGCGUAGAUAUCGAGAGGAACACUCGUGGCGAAGGCGGGUUCCUGGACAUUAACUGACGCUGAGGCACGAAGGCCAGGGGAGCGAAAGGGAUUAGAUACCCCAGUAGUC
RNAcentral lists this ribosomal RNA (446 nucleotides) under uncultured bacterium. Its description in RNAcentral is "partial 16S ribosomal RNA". It matches the Rfam family "Bacterial small subunit ribosomal RNA", at positions 338 to 795 of the family's 1533-position model. The record is from RNAcentral.